UCUUACGGCCAUAUCAGCCUGGGUACGCCCGAUCUCGUCUGAUCUCGGAAGCUAAGCAGGGUCGGGCCUGGUUAGUACUUGGAUGGGAGACCGCCUGGGAAUACCAGGUGCUGUAAGCA
RNAcentral lists this ribosomal RNA (119 nucleotides) under Salmo salar (Atlantic salmon). The record is from RNAcentral. Lineage: Eukaryota; Metazoa; Chordata; Actinopteri; Salmoniformes; Salmonidae.